RNAcentral lists this long non-coding RNA (213 nucleotides) under Hordeum vulgare. Its description in RNAcentral is "long non-coding RNA (HVUL_LNC012192)". The record is from RNAcentral. Lineage: Eukaryota; Viridiplantae; Streptophyta; Magnoliopsida; Poales; Poaceae.
UUCUUCUUCUUCUAGUCUUAUUCUUCUUAUUUUUUUAUUCUAGUCUUUUUCUUCUUCUUCUUCUUCUUCUUCUUCUUCUAGUCUUCUUCUUCUUCUUCUUCUUCUUCUUCUUCUACUACUACUACUGCUACUUCACCUUGUUCAUCACAUCUUAUUCUUCUUCUUCUCCUUCUUCUUCUUCUUCUUCUUCUUCUUCUUAUCCUUCUUCGUCUU